ACGCUGGCGGCAUGCCUUACACAUGCAAGUCGAACGGCAGCACGGAGCUUGCUCUGGUGGCGAGUGGCGAACGGGUGAGUAAUAUAUCGGAACGUACCCUAGAGUGGGGGAUAACGUAGCGAAAGUUACGCUAAUACCGCAUACGAUCUAAGGAUGAAAGUGGGGGAUCGCAAGACCUCAUGCUCGUGGAGCGGCCGAUAUCUGAUUAGCUAGUUGGUAGGGUAAAAGCCUACCAAGGCAUCGAUCAGUAGCUGGUCUGAGAGGACGACCAGCCACACUGGAACUGAGACACGGUCCAGACUCCUACGGGAGGCAGCAGUGGGGAAUUUUGGACAAUGGGCGAAAGCCUGAUCCAGCAAUGCCGCGUGAGUGAAGAAGGCCUUCGGGUUGUAAAGCUCUUUUGUCAGGGAAGAAACGGUGGAGGCUAAUAUCCUUUGCUAAUGACGGUACCUGAAGAAUAAGCACCGGCUAACUACGUGCCAGCAGCCGCGGUAAUACGUAGGGUGCAAGCGUUAAUCGGAAUUACUGGGCGUAAAGCGUGCGCAGGCGGUUUUGUAAGUCUGAUGUGAAAUCCCCGGGCUCAACCUGGGAAUUGCAUUGGAGACUGCAAGGCUAGAAUCUGGCAGAGGGGGGUAGAAUUCCACGUGUAGCAGUGAAAUGCGUAGAUAUGUGGAGGAACACCGAUGGCGAAGGCAGCCCCCUGGGUCAAGAUUGACGCUCAUGCACGAAAGCGUGGGGAGCAAAC
RNAcentral lists this ribosomal RNA (745 nucleotides) under uncultured bacterium. Its description in RNAcentral is "bacterial SSU rRNA". It matches the Rfam family "Bacterial small subunit ribosomal RNA", at positions 33 to 773 of the family's 1533-position model. The record is from RNAcentral.